Molecule: ribosomal RNA, 379 nt
Filed under: uncultured eukaryote
Lineage: Eukaryota
Description: partial 18S ribosomal RNA
Rfam family: Eukaryotic small subunit ribosomal RNA
Source: RNAcentral
CGAUAGCGUAUAUUAAUGUUGUUGCAGUUAAAAAGCUCGUAGUUGGAUUUCUGGUGGGAGCGGCCGGUCCGCCGUAAGGUGUGUACUUGGUUGUCUCCUGUCAUCCUUGUGGGAACUGCUCAGGCAUUAAGUUGUCGGGGUUAGGGAACACAUCGUUUACUGUGAAAAAAUUAGAGUGUUUAAAGCAGGCUUAUGCCGUUGAAUACAUUAGCAUGGAAUAAUAAGAUAGGACUUUGGCGUCUAUUUUGUUGGUUUGCACACCAAGGUAAUGAUUAAUAGGGAUAGUUGGGGGUAUUCGUAUUUAAUUGUCAGAGGUGAAAUUCUUGGAUUUAUGAAAGACGAACUUCUGCGAAAGCAUUUACCAAAGAUGUUUUCAUUA